AUGAGCAGCUCCCGCCGCCUUCCCCGCUCGCCACCGGACGACGAAGACCUGCUGUCGGAGAUCCUCCUCCGCCUCCCCCCUCAGCUCUCCUCCCUCUGGCGCGCCUCGCUCGUCUGCAAGCGUUGGCGCUGCCUCGUCUCCGACCCCCGAUUCCUCCGCCGCUUCCGCCGCCAUCACCGCCGCAACCCUCCCCUCCUUGGCUUCUUCUUUGAGGAACUGACCCCUCCCCGCGGGAUCUCCUUCGUGCCAACUCUGGAGCCCCCAAACCGUGUCCCCGUCGGGCGCUUCUCUCUGCAGUUCGACGACGGCGACAGCUACAGGCUCCUCAACAGCCGCCAUGGCCUCGUGCUUCAGGCUGCAAGGAAGCACAACCAGGCCCUGGUGUGGGACCCAGUCAACGGCGACCAGCACCGCGUUGCCGUUCCCCCAAGCUUCUACAUGACGGCGCCGACCCGGGUCAGAGGGGCAGUGCUUCGGCCUGCCGGAGACACCCACCACUUCCAGGUUGUCUUGAUAGGCACGCACAAAGAACAGCAUAAACCAGGGAUCGCCUGCGUUUACUCCUCGGAGACCAAGGAAUGGGGUAAUCUUGUCUCAACACCGCUCCCACCCGAGAAUUCUAUCUACAGCUUUCGCACCAUUGUUUAUAGGGGCAUGGCCUGCGUCCUGGUUGGGAAUUCCCUUUACUGGAUGCUUUCUGAGAGAUCAGCUCGCAUCGAGUUUGAUUUGGAUAGACAGAGGCUAGCUGUGAUACAUGGGCCGGUGGACAUCUGUGACACUACCAAUUGCCAUUUCUCAGUUAUGAGAGCCGAUGGCGGUGGUCUUGGUUUCCUCUUUCUGUCAGAAUUCAACGACCAAAUAUGGAGCAGGAAGGAGGAUUGUGAUGCUGCUGUUUCAUGGGUGCUCAGAAGAACCAUUCAGCUGGAUAAGCUACUUCCCCUCAAACAAGGGAUGGGCGGAGUGCCCCUGAUGCUAUUGUUACUAGGAUUGGCUGAGGACAAUAAUGUGUUGUUCCUGAUGGCAGAUGCCGGCAUCUUCAUGCUCCAGCUUGAGCCGUUGCAGUUCAAGAAAUUUUCCAAAAUCAGCUUCUGGCGACACCUUCAUCCAUUUGAAACUGUCUAUACUGCAGGUAAUAGCACACCUUUACACUCUGCCCGUACCAAAAAAAACCCCGGAAUGCUACUCAUGUUAUUCCGUGUUAGAGCAUCUCCAAUAGAUGAUCUAAAUGUAAAAAUAACUAACUUUUGGACCGUCUAA
RNAcentral lists this ribosomal RNA (1257 nucleotides) under Triticum aestivum (bread wheat). RNAcentral's name for it is "partial small subunit ribosomal RNA". The record is from RNAcentral. Lineage: Eukaryota; Viridiplantae; Streptophyta; Magnoliopsida; Poales; Poaceae.